AUGAAAAGACAAAUUAGUUACGUUUUCGCCCGCACGUCCUCGAUCACCUAUCUGGUGGUUUCCACUACAAAUGGCAUAGUCUACCAGCUCGUGGAAAGUCCGGAGGAAUCCUUCUUGGGAUACAGACCACGGCAAUGGACUUAUUGGCCUUUUCGACCCGUGAAUUUCAUAUCAAAUUUUACCUAUGAAACAGGGCUGAUAAUUUUACAUGGAGCCUAUGGGGCUGCCCAAGAUGAGCAUAAAUCCGCUUUCCUUCGUGAACUGGUGAAUCUGGCUAAGGAUAACCCGUACCCAAUGCUUAUUGGAGGGGAUUUCAAUAUCCUUAGGUACCAAGAAGAAAAAAAUAAUGACCGCUUCGACACUCACUGGCCUUUCCUAUUCAAUGUUGUCAUUGAUAGUUUGGACCUUCGGGAAGCUUGUAUGUCGGGGCGGCAGUUCACUUGGGCUAAUAACCGUUCUGUGCCAACGUACGAGAAGCUCGAUAGCGUACUCAUGGAUACCGAAUGGGAGCUAAAAUUUCAUAUGGUAACCGUAUGA
Molecule: ribosomal RNA, 537 nt
Filed under: Triticum aestivum (bread wheat)
Lineage: Eukaryota; Viridiplantae; Streptophyta; Magnoliopsida; Poales; Poaceae
Description: partial small subunit ribosomal RNA
Source: RNAcentral